ACGCUCGACACCUACGGGGGGCAGCAGUGGGGAAUAUUGCACAAUGGGGGAAACCCUGAUGCAGCGACGCCGCGUGGAGGAAGAAGGUCUUCGGAUUGUAAACUCCUGUUGUUGGGGAAAAAGAGGAUGGUACCCAACAAGGAAGUGACGGCUAACUACGUGCCAGCAGCUGCGGUAAUCUGAGCGGGCUGGCAAGGC
This 198-nucleotide ribosomal RNA is filed under the name uncultured bacterium. RNAcentral's name for it is "partial 16S ribosomal RNA". It matches the Rfam family "Bacterial small subunit ribosomal RNA", at positions 328 to 539 of the family's 1533-position model. The record is from RNAcentral.